This is a long non-coding RNA of Eucalyptus grandis, 866 nucleotides long. RefSeq lists it as uncharacterized. Lineage: Eukaryota; Viridiplantae; Streptophyta; Magnoliopsida; Myrtales; Myrtaceae. The transcript has 2 exons. The record is from RefSeq and is a predicted model, not a curated record.
UCGAAACCCAACCAGACCCAAAUUAUUGCUUUAGGUAUUAAGCUUUUCAGGCCAGGUCGAGUUGGAACACACUGCCUUAUGAUUCCGGUUGGGUAACGUCGAAACCCAACCCAUUGACAGCCCUAACAGCAUCCAUUUGAACAACUAUAUUUGCUGAAUUUAUGACCACAUUUUUGGUUUUGGUUUCUUGAACAGUGUCAUGUAGUUACUGAGAUGAACAGUUAUUAUGUAAUUACUGAUCUAGCUUUCAGAGCGAAUGACUAGACCAUGGGUUACGGAUACUUCAACAUGUCCCAACCAUUACCAGAGAUUAAUGUGUGUUUAUCUGGCCUUCUCUGGAACUUCUUAAGGAAGGUUCUCUCUUUUACCAUCACUUUCGCCGGAAUGUAAUGGAAGUUUUGCCCUUGUGCCCUUCUGGACCUUAUCCUUAACAGUGACAAGACUAUCCUGCAUCUUUCUAUUGGAAGCUGGCAGCCCUCACAAAGACCCUUUUCCCGAAAAUGGAGACUGUGUACUACCUUCACAACUUUAAAGGAAUGAGAGGAGGAACCCUCUUUAGAUGCUAACCUGGCCCAUGGAAGGUUCUCAGAAGAGUCGGAAACCAGUACAUGACUUUGCAUCAGCAGGAAGCGAUGCCCUCCUCAAGGAAGUCGCCUUGAACAUUCUGCCCUUGUCUUGAGCAUUCGAAACAUUGUAUGUAACAGAUAAUACUGAUGCUUAUGUACAGAAACAUGCAACAUGGCCGCACGAUGGUUAUCUUUCAGUUUUUGUUUCCUCUGAUGGCCAUAGUACACUCGAUCCUAAGUCCGAACAUGCCAAUUCGAGUGUCAAGCAGAGUUUAUGAAUGUGAUGAUAGAUCUUGUUUA